UCGAGCGAAGCACUUUGGAAAGAUUCUUCGGAUGAUUUCCUUUGUGACUGAGCGGCGGACGGGUGAGUAACGCGUGGGUAACCUGCCUCAUACAGGGGGAUAACAGUUAGAAAUGACUGCUAAUACCGCAUAAGACCACGGUACCGCAUGGUACAGUGGUAAAAACUCCGGUGGUAUGAGAUGGACCCGCGUCUGAUUAGGUAGUUGGUGGGGUAACGGCCUACCAAGCCGACGAUCAGUAGCCGACCUGAGAGGGUGACCGGCCACAUUGGGACUGAGACACGGCCCAGACUCCUACGGGAGGCAGCAGUGGGGAAUAUUGCACAAUGGAGGAAACUCUGAUGCAGCGACGCCGCGUGAAGGAUGAAGUAUUUCGGUAUGUAAACUUCUAUCAGCAGGGAAGAAAAUGACGGUACCUGACUAAGAAGCCCCGGCUAACUACGUGCCAGCAGCCGCGGUAAUACGUAGGGGGCAAGCGUUAUCCGGAUUUACUGGGUGUAAAGGGAGCGUAGACGGCACGGCAAGCCAGAUGUGAAAGCCCGGGGCUCAACCCCGGGACUGCAUUUGGAACUGCUGAGCUAGAGUGUCGGAGAGGCAAGUGGAAUUCCUAGUGUAGCGGUGAAAUGCGUAGAUAUUAGGAGGAACACCAGUGGCGAAGGCGGCUUGCUGGACGAUGACUGACGUUGAGGCUCGAAAGCGUGNGGAGCAAACAGGAUUAGAUACCCUGGUANUCCACGCCGUAAACGAUGACUGCUAGGUGUCGGGUGGCAAAGCCAUUCGGUGCCGCAGCU
Molecule: ribosomal RNA, 791 nt
Filed under: uncultured bacterium
Lineage: Bacteria
Description: bacterial SSU rRNA
Rfam family: Bacterial small subunit ribosomal RNA
Source: RNAcentral